This is a long non-coding RNA of Oncorhynchus kisutch (coho salmon), 4216 nucleotides long. The record is from Ensembl. NCBI's taxonomy places the organism in Eukaryota, Metazoa, Chordata, Actinopteri, Salmoniformes, Salmonidae.
AUAGGCUGGAUGCAAUUGUGGCCAUAUUGCUUAUCCCUAUUAAAUCCUUGUGUUUAGACCAAGGUGUAGGAUUUAGGGGUCAAUUUGGAAAUAGAAAUUGAAUGUAGUUCAGUGGCUGACAGGUGUCCUUAAUUAGCCAACGACAUUAGAAGGGUCUGGGAUUCCUUUAAAAGGAGCAACCAAACAUCUGGCAAAUAUAGUAAAAGGGAUAUUCUGGUAGGACGUAUGCCUACCAUUAGUUCUGAAUACUGGUGAGGUUUUGAGGGCAAAAUGGCCGUGAUGAUUGGAAUCGCUUUCAGCAUUUCUUGGCUUUGUUGCCUGCUAAUUGGAGGGAUAACGUGUUCUACAUCAGAAGGUGAUUGGUCUCCUGCACUGGAUUCUAAUGCAGCAUGGCUCUAUGCAGGAUCACUUCGGUCUCUAGGAUAUGGCAAUUAUAAAUCUCAAAUGCAAGCGCAACAGAAACAUCCGGCCGCCAUCCUGCGGAAGGAACUGGCCCCCAUGUCCCAGCAACCUCAGCAAGUGUGGUAUCCAGUUCAAUUGCCCCUGCAUCAGAAGCAACUGGCCGCAGAAACUCAGCAGCAGAGGCAACCGACAACUGUGCCCCAGCAAGUGUGGCAUCAAGCUCACAUGCUGACACAACCACCGACCGCCGUGCCCCAGCAAGUGUGGCAUCAAGCUCACAUGCUGACGCAUAAGCAACCGACCGCCGUGCCCCAGCAAGUGUGGCAUCAAGCUCACAUGCUGACGCAUAAGCAACCGACCGCCGUGCCCCAGCAAGUGUGGCAUCCUGCUCAAAAGCCCCUGCAGCAGAAGCAACUGGCCGCAGAAGCUCAGCAGCAGAGGCAACCGACCGCCGUGCCCCAGCAAGUGUGGCAUCAAGCUCACAUGCUGACGCAUAAGCAACCGACCACUGUGCCCCAGCAAGUGUGGCAUCCUCCUCAAAUGCUCCUGCAGCAGAAGCAACCGACCGCCGUGCCCCAGCAAGUGUGGCAUCCUCCUCAAAUGCCCCUGCAGCAGAAGCAACCGACCGCCGUGCCCCAGCAAGUAUGGCAUCCUUCUCAAAUGCCCCUGCAAACAACCGCUGUGCCCCAGCAAGUGUGGCAUCCUCCUCAAAUGCCCCUGCAGCAUAAUCAACCGACCGCUGUGCCCCAGCAAGUGUGGCAUCCUGCUCAAAAGCCCCUGCAGCAGAAGCAACCGACCGCCGUGCCCCAGCAAGUGUGGCAUCAAGCUCACAUGCUGACGCAUAAGCAACCGACCGCUGUGCCCCAGCAAGUGUGGCAUCCUCCUCAAAUGCCCCUGCAGCAGAAGCAACCGACCACCGUGCCCCAGCAAGUGUGGCUUCCUCCUCAAUUGCCCCUGCAGCAGAAGCAACCGACCGCUGUGCCCCAGCAAGUAUGGCAUCCUUCUCAAAUGCCACUGCAAACAACCGCUGUGCCCCAGGAAGUGUGGCAUCCUCCUCAAAUGCCCCUGCAGCAUAUUCAACCGAUCGGCGUGCCCCAGCAAGUGUGGCUUCCUCCUCAAAUGCCCUUGCAGCAGAAGCAACCGAGCGCCGUGCCCCAGCAAGUGUGGCAUCCUCCUCAAAUGCCCCUGCAGCAGAAGCAACCGACCGCCGUGCCCCAGCAAGUGUGGCUUCCUCCUCAAAUGCCCUUGCAGCAGAAGCAACCGAGCGCCGUGCCCCAGCAAGUGUGGCUUCCUCAAUUGCCCCUGCAGCAGAAGCAGCCGACCGCCGUGCCCCAGCAAGUGUGGCUUCCUCAAUUGCCCCUGCAGCAGAAGCAACCGACCGCCGUGCCCCAGCAAGUGUGGCAUCCAGCUCAAAUGCAGCAGAAGCAACAGACCAACGUGCCCCAGCAAGUGUGGCAUCCAGCUCAAAUGCAGCAGAAGCAACCGACUGCCCUGUGCCAGCAAGUGUGGCAUCCUCCUCAAAUGGCCCUGCAGCAGAAGCAACUGACCACCGUGCCCCAGCAAGUGUGGCAUCCAGCUCAAAUGCAGCAGAAGCAACCGACUGCCGUGCCCCAGCAAGUGUGGCAUCCUCGUCAAAUGCCCCUGAGGCAGAAGCAAACGACCGACGUGCCCCAGCAAGUGAGGCAUCCUGCUCAGUUUCCCCAGCAGAAGCAACUGGCCCCUAUGCCUCUACUGCAGAAGGAACCAACCACCAUAACCCAGCAACCUCAGCAGGUGUGGCAUCCAGCUCAAAUGUCCAAGAAUCGAACAGCCACUGAACCUCAGCAGAAGCCACCAUCCACCACGCCAGCUCAAAUUCCCCUGCAGCAGAAGCAACCGGCCACUGAACCUCAACAGAAGGAGCUGACCGCCAUGCCACAGAAGCUACAGGCCUCCAUUCUCCAGCAGCCUCCGCUCGUGUGGCAUCCAUCUCAAUUUCCCCAGCAGAAGGAACUGGCAGUCGAGCCCCAGCAGAAGAAGGAACUGGCAGUCGAGCCCCAGCAGCAGAAGGAACUGGCAGUCGAGCCCCAGCAGCAGAAGGAACUGGCAGUCGAGCCCCAGCAGCAGAAGGAACUGGCAGUCGAGCCCCAGCAGCAGAAGGAACUGGCAGUCGAGCCCCAGCAGCAGAAGGAACUGGCAGUCGAGCCCCAGCAGCAGAAGGAACUGGCAGUCGAGCCUCAGCAAGUGAGUUCCAAAUCGCACUACAAGAAUGGCAGAACUAUCUUUUCACAAAUCAGCUACACUCCUAGGGAGGCAAUGCCUGUUGACAGUGGAAAUGCUCCCAAGGACGGUUAUGUUGGCAUUGGUGCACCAAGCAUAUAUCCAACACUAGUGAAGGAUUCUGCAAGGGAAAUAUAAUGGAUUCAUCCUCUAGAAGCUCUAAUGACCAGGAAGUUGCUGGUGCUCUUGCUACUCUAGUGUGAUGGAAUCAAUAAACAACUUACUUUAAAAAAUGCCUUGUCUCUUUGAAAUGUUUCAUGUCCAUUGCUUGCUAAUUGAGAACAGGUUGUGUGCAGUCCGUAGUAAAAAUGACUACUGUUCAGUUAAUUCUUUGGUUUUCUUAUCUUUUACAUUUGCUACUGAUUAAAAUAAAAGCUUGGGUCUACAUAAGAGCAUUUGUGAUGGGGUCAGACAUUCCUCAUAUGUUCAUACUUUAGAUGUAGGCAUGCAUUGUAUACAGUGAGACUGUCAGAUAAAUCCCUGAUUGAAGAGCUCUGGGGAAGUGUACUAAAAUGUCUGAAGCAUUGAAGGUCCCUAAGAACAGUCGCCUCGAUCGUUUAUAAAUGGAAGAGCUUUGGAACCACCAAGACUCUUCCUAGAGCUGGCCGCCGGGCCAAACUGAGCAAUCGGGGGAGAAGGGCCUUGGUCAGGGAGGUGAUCAAGAACCCGAUUGUCACUCUGACAGAGCUCGAGAGUUCCAUCUCUGCAGCACUCCACCAAUCAGGGCUUUAUGGUAGUGUGGAGAGGUGGAAGCCUCUCCUCAGUAAAAAGCACAUUACAGCCGGCUUUACACCUAAAGACUCUGAAACCAUGCGAACAAGAUUCUCUGGUCUGAUUAAACCAAGAAUGAACUCUUUGGAUUGAAUGGCAAGUGUCACGUCUCGAAGAAACCUCUCACCAUUGAGUGGCCCAGCCAUAGCCCGGACUUAAACCCGAUCAAACAUCUCUGGAAAGACCUGAAAAUAGCUGUCCAGCAAAGCUCCACAUCCAACCUGACUGAGCUUGAGAGGAAUUGUAGAAACUUUCAUUUCUAAAUCAUAAUGCAAAUGAAACCCUGAGUUCAGUUUAUAUAGCCAUGGGGGAAUGAAAACAGAUGUAUGCAUUUGGUUGUGAAGACAGAUUACAUGUAAAUAAAACGACAAAAGGAAUACUAAAAUUGUCUAGGUGUAUACAACCCGAGGGUGGUCGAAAUUGUUUAAAUGUUGCAUACAUUUUUUUUUGUAUCUAGAUAUUGUGUUAAUGUCUAAACAACUCUUUUAUUCAUUGUCAGAAAUAUAUAAAUAUAGUUUUACCUGCACCUGUAUGCAGAUGAUACCGUUGUGUACUCAAUUGCCCCGCCCUGCUGAUCAGGCUCUAUCUGAUCUACAUUAGGCUUUCAUUAUUUUGCAGAACACCUUUAUUGACCUUCAAUUAUUAUUGAAUUCAUGGAAAACUGUUCUCUAGAUUACACAAAAAUGAUUCUAAUGAUUGAAGUGUACGUACCUGGUACGGUGUAUCAGUAUGUACGUUAAGUUGUCUUUUUGAAAAACAUAUUGAUGAGUUAAUUAAGAUGCUG